Molecule: RNase P RNA, 372 nt
Filed under: Thalassotalea mangrovi
Lineage: Bacteria; Pseudomonadati; Pseudomonadota; Gammaproteobacteria; Alteromonadales; Colwelliaceae
Description: Bacterial RNase P class A
Rfam family: Bacterial RNase P class A
About the family: Ribonuclease P (RNase P) is a ubiquitous endoribonuclease, found in archaea, bacteria and eukarya as well as chloroplasts and mitochondria. Its best characterised activity is the generation of mature 5'-ends of tRNAs by cleaving the 5'-leader elements of precursor-tRNAs.
Source: Rfam by way of RNAcentral
CGAGUUGACCAGACAAUCGCUGCUGCUUAGCCUAGGUUAAGCAGGGGAGGAAAGUCCGGGCUCCACAGAGCAGGGUGCCAGAUAACGUCUGGGGGGCGCAAGCCUACGACAAGUGCAGCAGAGAGAAGACCGCCUAAGCACCGAUUAGGUGCCGGUAAGGGUGAAAGGGUGCGGUAAGAGCGCACCGGGCCGCUGGUAACAGUUGGCAGCAGGGUAAACUCCACCCGGAGCAAGACCAAAUAGGGUUCCUUAUGGCGUGGCUCGCGUUGGAACCGGGUAGGUUGCUUGAGCCCUGGAGCGAUCCAGGGCCUAGACGAAUGAUUGUCGCUCUUUUUAAGAGAACAGAACCCGGCUUAUCGGUCAACUCAACUC